Molecule: long non-coding RNA, 1222 nt
Organism: Procambarus clarkii (red swamp crayfish)
Lineage: Eukaryota; Metazoa; Arthropoda; Malacostraca; Decapoda; Cambaridae
Source: RefSeq, a predicted model, not a curated record
CACUUUCUAGUAUGUGGUUUGGUCAAGAAGUGAAACUCUUUACCACCUAAGUAUAUAAUACACGAGUUUCGGCCUCGGUGUUUGCUCAGACUCCUGACUGGUUGUAAUUAGUGCCGCUGUAUUUGACGGGUGUAGGAGCACGUUACGUGGCUGUAACAUCACAAGCAUUUCAGUGAUUAAGUCACCUGUGAUGACCUUCACUAAUCUGUUAGUCUAAUUAUCUAAUUAUCGUGUGUGUUUGGUCUCUCUGUUCUGGCCCGCUUAUGGCGUUCCCUUUGUUCACUCUACUUACACUUUCGAGGCUACAAACCCCUUCCGUAUACCGCCCUACGCAACAAUUUCCGGCUGUGAUGGCCGCUCGACCCGCCAGACCAUUGUCAAGGUGAGCGAGAAGUUCUUCCGUAGGAGAGAGUGGGAGGGGCCAGGAGACGAGCCAGUCUCUUCCGUCUGUAUAUAAAGAUUUGCUCCUCCUCCUCGCGACACCAGUCAACAAGACGCUGUCUUCUUGAAAAUCCUUCCGUCAGCAUGAAAGGUCUGAGUGUGGUGAUGGUGGUGGUGACCCUGGCCGCCCUGAUGGGGUCCACGCUAGCUAUGCCCGAAGCCUACGCCCUGGCCGACCCUCAACCCGCUGCUGACCCGCAGUUUGGAUUCGGUGGAUUUGGCAGUCGCGAAUUCUUUGGUCGCGGCUUUGGUCGACGCAGAUUCGGUCGACGCGGAUUUGGCCGUCGUGGUUUCGGCCGCCGAUUCGGCAGUCACGAAUUUGGAUUCGGCAACUUCUUCUUUUAAUGAAUAAUACUGUGUCUGUCUUUCUCCAACUCUCUCCUAAGUGUAGCGUCUUGCACGGAAAAUCCAUAGUGGCAAAUUCUUAAACUGCAGAACAUUAUUUUUAAAACUCAAUGACUUUGCAGACCAAAAAAGAACUAUUCUCUAGACAGAAUUCGACUAAACAACACUAUGGGACAGUCAAAACACGCAUAUAUAUCGUUCUCGCCCUCAUCCAUCUCUACUAUCCAUCAACGUCUCCGUCAAUCAUCCAUCACUUUCAUCCAUCAGCUUUGAACCUUCAGCACAUCUUCUCUAAUGCUUAAGUCAGCACCUGCAUCCUUCAAGAUGAUUUAUUUAUGAGGCUUCUAUCUCGUGCUUAUCAGAUAUCUUACAUAAACUGACAGUUAAGUUAUUAACAAAUAACCUUGUAUAUGUAAAAUAAACAGAUUGCCAUAUA